AGCAGCCGCGGUAAUUCCAGCUCCAAUAGCGUAUAUUAAAGUUGCUGCAGUUAAAAAGCUCGUAGUUGAAUUUCGGGACUAAUAUGUCGGUCGUGCCUCGGUACGUACUGGUUUAUUGGUUUCUCCUUUCUGAAGAACCAUGAUGUCAUUUAUUUGGUGUCGUGGGGAAUCAGGACUGUUACUUUGAAAAAUUAGAGUGUUUAAAGCAGGCUCACGCUUGAAUACAUUAGCAUGGAAUAAUGAAAUAGGACGUUUGAUUCUAUUUUGUUGGUUUCUAGGAUCGACGUAAUGAUUAAUAGGGAUAGUUGGGGGCAUUAGUAUUCAAUUGUCAGAGGUGAAAUUCUUGGAUUUAUUGAAGACUAACUACUGCGAAAGCAUUUGCCAAGGAUGUUUUCAUUAAUCAAGAACGAAAGUUAGGGGAUCGAAGACGAUCAGAUACCGUCGUAGUCUUAACCAUAAACUAUGCCGA
Molecule: ribosomal RNA, 469 nt
Filed under: uncultured Glomus
Lineage: Eukaryota; Fungi; Glomeromycota; Glomeromycetes; Glomerales; Glomeraceae
Description: SSU rRNA
Rfam family: Eukaryotic small subunit ribosomal RNA
Source: RNAcentral